AACUCCUGAGCUCAAGGGAUCCACCCACCCGCCUUGACCUCCCAAAGUGCUGGGAUUACAGGCAUGAGCCACCGAACCUGACCUCUAGUUUUUCAAGAUGCCACCUUUAGGGGAACUGGGUAAAGGGUACAUAGGGUAUGCAUUAUGUGUUACUGCAUGUGAAUUUAUAAUUACCUCAAAUCAAAGGUUAAAUUUUAAAAUAAAAUGACAUCCGAUUUCAAUAAAAAUCUAUAUUUGUGUAUUGAAGACCCAGAAAUCCGGGCCCCCAAGGGCCCAUGUUUCUUAAGGUGGAGCCAGGCACCGCUGCCCCUUCAUCCAGGGCCUGUGCUGUGCGACCCGACUCGCCGGCCCCCAGCCCCAUCUAAUAGUGCUGCCGUCCUGAGUCCGUCCUCGUCGUGGGAUACCAUGUGAGCCCCGGAAGGUCCUUCCUGUCGGCCUCGCUGCUCCAGCCUCCCCGACGUACUCACAUCCACGCCGCGCGCCCUUUCUGAACCUGAACGCCUCCUCCUCACCACGACAUGAUCAGAGCCACCUCCCGCGUCAGUCCCAGCGCCCACGCCCCCAACAACGGGCACUCGUCUGACCGGUCACUGGUAUUUGUCUCCCCACCAACCCCCAAGGCCUAGAGUGGACAAAUACGGGGUGGAAAAACGGGAAGAGGCUGCGGCCGGGUGGCGCGAGGCCUGUGCGGGCAGCUCCGCAGUCUCGGAGGCGAGGCCUAGCCUGGUGAGCUCCGGAACUACGAGGCGCGGGUGGGGGUUGAUGAACGAAUAAAUGAAUGUGGGAAGAAAUGAUGGCGCGGCAGGACAUGAAGGCGGAGCCACAAGGCUGGAGGAGUGAUGAGUGAAUGAGUCAAAGAAUAAACGAGCAGGAGGAACGAUGCUACAGAACUGAAUGCUAUAAGGCUCGCGUUCACCGAGCAAGCGGCGGACAGGAGCCGUUUCCGCCCCGACCACGGUCGCCUCUGGCCUGUGCAGAGCUACUUCCGGGCCGCUCUGGAGGGCGCGGAGGCCUAUCUCUGUGGUCCCAGAGGGCGCUGCUCAGGGCCGAGCCCCGCCCUGCCCCGCGCGGCGAGAGUGGGUGGAGCCGGAGGACAGAUCUGUGCUUGGCCGGAGGGUGUCCGUCGGCGUCACUCACCGUCCUCAGCCCGCCCCUGCGUCCACUACGCGCUGCCUGAGAGGGGCCUGCACGGAGGCACGGGGAAUGCACCUAGAGCUGCAUUCGAUGUAUUCCUUGGCUUUUGGUCCUUUCCUCCAUCAUUAAAUAACUGGUAACGUCUUAA
This is a long non-coding RNA of Cercocebus atys (sooty mangabey), 1282 nucleotides long. RefSeq lists it as uncharacterized. The record is from RefSeq and is a predicted model, not a curated record. Lineage: Eukaryota; Metazoa; Chordata; Mammalia; Primates; Cercopithecidae. The transcript has 2 exons.